Molecule: long non-coding RNA, 799 nt
Organism: Drosophila mauritiana
Lineage: Eukaryota; Metazoa; Arthropoda; Insecta; Diptera; Drosophilidae
Exons: 6
Source: RefSeq, a predicted model, not a curated record
UGUAAACUUAGGUUUUUAGACAUUGACAUGUACUGGUAACAUUAUUAUAUUGCAUGGUACCACCGCCAGAAAGGCGGAAGCACCGAGUUGCUGGAAACCUCAGGAGUCAGGGGAUUGGCAGCUUGUAGCCGCCGGAUCAGGGCCAUCGCAGCUGGGAUGCCGCGGUUUUGGAGUCGUCGAGUUUCCCAGUACUAGCAUGUGUUUCCUUGUUUCAGUAUUUGCAGUCUUGGAAGAAGGAGUUGCGUGCGUGUCGUCCGCAGGAUGGAGUCGCAUAUUAGCAUCUGCUAGUUUGCCUGUCUGGUUUGCUAUUUUCUGUUAGAGGAAAUUCGUUGAAAUUACGAUACUGAGCAGAAAUAUGCAUUUUGAGGACGGAUUUUGCAGCUUUUUAAUGUGGCGUCAGCUCCGCGCUAGAGAUCCUUAUUAAAGCAGUGGCAUCAGGAGAUGGAGACUGCAUCAUAAAAUUGUAAAUUUUUUGUAUUUAUAACCGCAAAAGUUGGAGAUUUUGUUUAUCAUGUCCAUCUUUCGAUUCGUCUUUUAUAUUCUGGUGUGGUUUGCUUGGCAUCGCAUCGUCAGGAUCAGUUAGAGUGCGUUGUCGUAGGCUUGUUCAUUAGGAUACGUUGAGGCUUUGCGUGGAGGAAAGUGAUGACAAUGAAGAACAAUACAUAAGUGCGUUGUCGUAGGCUUGUUCAUUAGGAUACGUUGAGGCUUUGCGUGGAGGAAAGUGAUGACAAUGAAGAACAAUUUGGAAGCAGACAGACGUGCGCUUUUCGAUCGGAUAUAGUCUAUAGUGCGUAUUCAA